This 253-nucleotide ribosomal RNA is filed under the name uncultured bacterium. RNAcentral's name for it is "partial 16S ribosomal RNA". It matches the Rfam family "Bacterial small subunit ribosomal RNA", at positions 524 to 776 of the family's 1533-position model. The record is from RNAcentral.
UACAGAGGGGGCAAGCGUUAUUCGGAAUUAUUGGGCGUAAAGGGCGCGUAGGCGGCUUGGCAAGUGGAAGGUGAAAGCCCUCGGCUCAACCGAGGAACUGCGCUUGAAACUGUUGGGCUCGAGUCAGCUAGAGGUGCACGGAACUUCCAGUGGAGCGGUGAAAUGUGUUGAUAUUGGAAGGAACACCGGAGGCGAAAGCGGUGCACUGGGGCUGGUCUGACGCUGAGGCACGAAAGCCAGGGGAGCGAACGGG